Molecule: ribosomal RNA, 465 nt
Filed under: uncultured bacterium
Lineage: Bacteria
Description: bacterial SSU rRNA
Rfam family: Bacterial small subunit ribosomal RNA
Source: RNAcentral
GGACCCGCACAAGCGGUGGAGCAUGUGGUUUAAUUCGAUGCAACGCGAAGAACCUUACCUGGUCUUGACAUCCUCGGAACUUGUCAGAGAUGACUUGGUGCCUUCGGGAACCGAGAGACAGGUGCUGCAUGGCUGUCGUCAGCUCGUGUCGUGAGAUGUUGGGUUAAGUCCCGCAACGAGCGCAACCCUUGUCCCUAGUUGCCAUCAUUCAGUUGGGCACUCUAGGGAGACCGCCGGUGACAAAUCGGAGGAAGGUGGGGACGACGUCAAGUCAUCAUGGCCCUUAUGACCAGGGCUACACACGUGCUACAAUGGCCAGUACAGAGGGUUGCCAACCCGCAAGGGGGAGCUAAUCCCAGAAAGCUGGUCGUAGUCCAGAUCGGAGUCUGCAACUCGACUCCGUGAAGUCGGAAUCGCUAGUAAUCGCGAAUCAGCAUUGUCGCGGUGAAUACGUUCCCGGGUCUU